Molecule: transfer-messenger RNA, 319 nt
Filed under: archaeon
Lineage: Archaea
Also listed under: 1 other name
Rfam family: transfer-messenger RNA
About the family: Bacterial tmRNA, also known as 10Sa RNA or SsrA, is named for its dual tRNA and mRNA-like properties. Its role is to liberate the mRNA from a stalled ribosome.
Source: RNAcentral
GGGGAUGCCAUGGUUUCGAUUGGUAGAUUUUUGAUAUAAAGUGCAAGUAAACUCGUACAAUUGUUUAAUAGGCAAUUAUACAAACUACAACACUAAUUACGCUUACGCGUAGUUAGUCAUCGCCCUUUGACUCCGAUAUAAGAUCAGGCGGUGUUACCAAUCGGAAGACCGAUCGUAGGAAUAACAAUACUUAAUCGCGAUGCUAAAUAAUGAAUUAAGAAAUGUUGACUUUGUUAGUAGGAAAGAAACUAACUAAACUUGUGAAUGACUUUAUAGCAUUGCUGUCAAGACGGGGGUUCGAUUCCCCCCAUCUCCACCA